UACGUAGGGCGCAAGCGUUGUCCGGAAUUAUUGGGCGUAAAGAGCUCGUAGGCGGUUUGUCGCGUCUGCUGUGAAAACCUAAGGCUCAACCUUGGGCUUGCAGUGGGUACGGGCAGACUAGAAUUCGGUAGGGGAGUCUGGAAUUCCUGGUGUAGCGGUGAAAUGCGCAGAUAUCAGGAGGAACACCGAUGGCGAAGGCAGGUCUCUGGGCCGAUACUGACGCUGAGGAGCGAAAGCGUGGGGAGCGAACAGG
This 253-nucleotide ribosomal RNA is filed under the name uncultured bacterium. RNAcentral's name for it is "partial 16S ribosomal RNA". It matches the Rfam family "Bacterial small subunit ribosomal RNA", at positions 524 to 776 of the family's 1533-position model. The record is from RNAcentral.